This 4725-nucleotide long non-coding RNA is filed under the name Elaeis guineensis (African oil palm). Its description in RNAcentral is "long non-coding RNA (EGUI_LNC017987)". Lineage: Eukaryota; Viridiplantae; Streptophyta; Magnoliopsida; Arecales; Arecaceae. The record is from RNAcentral.
UUCUGUCAUGCUUGGUCUACAAAAAGGAGGAGCCAAGGAGCCCAAAAACCAUACCAGCCCUCAACUCUUCUAAGACUCCAAGUAGAAGGUUGCGAGGUCUAAAGAUGAGACGCCACCAGAACAAGUUUUCCUCAGAGGAUGACUACUGCACCUGUGUGUCCAAAAUGGAGAAGAAGACAAGCAUGACUGAAGGGCCUCACUUCCCUCAGCUUCGCACUGUGUUCAAGCACAAGGAGUUCCAUGAGGAAGAGGGGACGUCGAACCAUGGAAUCUUCGGCCGGCCAAAGCAAAAGGAGUGGUUCGAAGAGGAGACCUAUGAAAUCACUGAGACGAAGGUCGAGGCAGCUUGAAAGCACAUUAUGUAUAGUUCUGUGGUGAUGGAUGCCAUGGCUUGGCAUCUUUAUAAAAUAAAUCUCUCGCUGCUCUACUGUAUCCUAUAUCCAUAUGUACUGUACUUCUCUAGUACUCAAUAAAGGUAUAUAUAGUUCUAUACUUUAGUACGUGUUUUCAGGUAGAGUUUUGAGAAUCCUACAACAACUCUUUUCCCCCUUCUGUUUUGAUAAUAUAAUUUGGAAAGAGGUAGGAUACUUUACACUUGAAGCCUUUUGGUGCAAAAUCAACUGAUGACAUUCUAAAAUUUUGAUAACGAUAUAAGACAUCUACACGAAUCAAGUGUUUGUAAGUUCUAUCUAUGCGCCAAGAGGAUGCAAACGAACGGCAUAAGUAGUGCUAAUAUGUUAAAAUGCAUGAUAGGGUGUGAAAAUUUUGAAUCCAGUCCAUGGAUUAUGAUCACUUCUUAGAAACCAUAUGUUAAGUAAAGCCCAAUAUGUUUGAGCGCUUCUAAAUCUAAAGUCAUAUGAAAACAUUAUAUAUAUUGACCCAUAAAAGUUUUCAAUAUUUAAGACUUGACGCAUAGAUAAAUUAACUUCAAAACAUAUUACUUCUAUUCCUAAGUAUUUUAGAUGUUUUAGAUCAUUAUUGGCGACAGAUUGUCAUUUUAGAACUUUGAUGAUGGAUUUGCACCUGCUGCCUGGCGUAUUGGAGCCACUCGAGCAUGUUAGACUAAUCUGCCUCAUCUGUAAAUGCUUAAAGCUUCAUUCAAAUUGCAGAAUUUGUUUAACUACAAAGGAAGUAGUUUAAUCAAUUGCAGAUAGAGGUGACAGAACUUCACAGCAGGUUUCCUGGCUGUUGCAAUAUAUGUUAAAUAUAUAGUUGAGAGGAUUAUACUUUUCUGGAGUCAAAAAUGGUUGAAAACUCACCAAGACUUCUUUAAAAGCAUGCAGGAUAUUUGGAUGUUUUACAGAGGGAAGGUGUGACCAGAAACAAGAUCUAUGUCUGCCCGCCAAAUGCACACAGUUGCGAGAGAUGGCGAGCUUGGAGAUUUUCUGAUUAAAGCAUCAUGCCAGGAAGAUAGUUCAUGGUGGAUUCUAGAGUGAUCGCACUUUGAACAUCAAUCUCAAAGCACUGAAUGCAUGUACUAUCACAUAUAGGCCUUGCAACUGAUCAUGAAGUUCGCUCAUAAAAUCUUGGAUGCACCUUGUGAUAAUCAUAAGCAUUCCUGAGGGGAGGACUCUGACAUUGAGAGCAAAUACAACUAAUUACAUGUCAUACCUCGAAUCCAUCAUAUGGGUCGACCAUGUGACAUGAUCGCAUGAAUCCUAGAGCAAGCUCUAGAGGCUAUUUCUAAAGCCUAUAAGAUGGCUCUAUCGCUUGUACUUCACCAUCAAACCCUUCCAAUGUUGCACAUUCCAUAACUCUGAAAGAAAAAAGAGAAUUGGGGGUGUGAACUUUACAAUAUAGUAAGCAUAUUAUUACAUUUACAUCAAUAUAAUAAUAUAAUUCAAAAAUAAUGAUUGAAUGGUAUCAGAGAAAAAUCAUAAGCCACAAUCUCAUAUCAAGCAACUAAUAUAACUCAAUAGUUAUAUAAACAUAUAUCAUAAAAUAUAUGUUAUCAUAAAUCCAUUAUAAAUAUCAUCGGUGGUUUCAUAUGACUUAUUAUUUAUAUUUCAUUAAUAUGAUCCAAAUCAAUAGUUGUGUUUUAGUUUAGAUUAAUUAUGGUCAUGCUUCAGACUAUAACUGACAAAUCAUAAAUCAUAUUUCGAUCCGUAAUGACAAUCCAUAAUAUCCGCACUUUGGUUUGUAAUGACAAACUAAGAUAUUUGAGCUUCGAUCCAUGGUGGCAAAUCAAUGUGUCAUAAUUUGGCCCAUAAUAGGCAAUCUAAGGUGUUACUAUUCAGCCCAUGGCUGGUAAUCCGUAUCAUAGCUAGUUUAAAUCCUCUUACAUAGUUAAUGCACCAUUCAAUAAUUUUAUAUUAUAUUUCUUAUCCAAUUUCAAACAUUCGAUAUUUAAUCUCAGCAAUCCAAAUAGUCACACAUGAUACAAAUAUAAUGAUCUAUCAUAUAUUCGACAUGAAACCAGAAAUGAGCAUGCAUAAAACAAAAAAAUCAUAUAUAUAGGCGAUCAUAUAAAGAGACUCUUAUCUUUAUUAAUUUCAGACUCAAGCAAUCGAUCAACUCCUCGAUCUACGAACUAUGAAAUAAGGUAUUUCACUCGAUACCUUCUUGUGCAGGCAGUUGCACCUUUACAUAAUCAAGAUUAACAUAAAAUCAUAAGUGAUCAAGGAUGGAGAAAAAUUACGGAAAAAUAUUCGAACGUUAUAGGCCCAAGACCCCCCUGAGGGUCAGGUCAUAUCUGGACCCUCUACUGGUCUAUAGAAUUUUCAGAUAGAGAAAUCCAUGCAGAGAGAGAAACAAUCAAGAGAGAGAAAAUUAUAGGGAGAGAAAAUGGAGAGAGAAACUAGGAAAAGCAAGUAAAGAGAGGGAAGGAAGAGAGAGAAAAAAAAAGAGAAACUCUCUCUCUUUUUUCUUCUCUUUUUUUUCUUUUUUUUUUUCUUCUCUUUCUCUUGUUAUCUCUUUCUUCUUUGCAGAAAAUAGGGGAAGGCAAACCUGCGCCGACCACCUUUCAUAGUGGUGGCCUCCCGGUUGUAGCAAAUCCCGAUGCCUCUGGCCCUUAGGGCCCAACAUGGUUGGCAACGGUGGUGGACACAGCAAAAGAAGGGAAGAAGAUGGGAACAGAGAAGGCUCUGUUUAUUAUGAAAUCCGGUGAUCUCCAGCGGCAAUUGGGCGAUUAAACCCGUUAUCGAUGGUUGGGGAACUCGGGAUGACUAUGGUGAAGAGAUUGAGAUGGAUUAUGUUACCUUUGGCGAUGAAUCAAUAGUGAAUUGUGGAGAACAAUCAAUGAAAAAUCAGAGAAAUCUGAGGGGUUCUCCGAUAAUCAAUCGAGACUGAGGGGCGACUCACUUAGAGGGGGACAGAAGGGAUUUUAUAGUCGGGAUCUAGAGUUCUGGCAAGUUUUAGACCCUGAUCCUGAUCGGACUCAAAGAGGAAAGUCGGACUCCAUCGGGAAUCCUCUUCCACCACACAUGCCCAACAUGUAAGAUUUUAAAAAUUUUAUUUUUUUGUUUGUCUAUUUUAAGAUUUAUGCGAGAAAAACUAAUGGGUCAAAUUUUUACAUUCUUCUUCUCUUAAAAUAAUUCUAUUCUCGAAGUCAGUAUACACAAAGCAGAAAUCUUAAGGGUUUAUUUUAUCUUCGAGCUCCUAAAUAGUCUGGUUCACUGGAAAAUAAAAUUCAAGACCUCUAUCGAUCAUAACACCCCAUGAAAAGGACACUUUUGAGGAACCGAUUACGUCUGAUCCAGCACCACCCAAAGCUACUCCAUCAAAGUUCAAAAAUACCGGCUGGCUGGCAGACAAAAGUUAGAGUAUAAGAUGCACCUCUUAUCUUCAAGGAAUAAAUUCCAUAAUGCUUGGUCUAUAAAAAGGAGGAGCCAAGGAGCUCAGAAACCAAACCAACCUCAGCUCUUCUAAAACUCCAAAUAGAAGGUUGCGAGGUCUAAAGAUGAGCUGCCACCAGAGCAAGUUUUCCUCAGAGGAUGACUACCGCACCUAUGUGUCCAAAAUGGAGAAGAAGACAAGCAUGAAUGAAGGGCCUUACUCCCCUCAGCUUCACACUGUGUUCAAGCACAAGGAGUUCCACGAGGAAGAGAAGAAGUCGCACCAUGGAAUUUUCGGCCGGCCAAGGCAAAAGGAGUCAUUCGAAGAGGAGACCUAUGAAAUCACUGAGACGACGAUCGGAGCAGCUUGAAAGCAUGAUGUAUAGUUCUGUGGUAAUGGAUGCCAUGGCUUGGCAUCUUUAUAAAAUAAAUCUCUAGCUGCUCUACUGUAUCCUAUCCAUAUGAAUAAUAAUGUACUUCUGUAGUACUCAAUAGAGGUAUAUAUAUAUAUAGUUCUAUACUUUAGCCUACUACUUUCACCCUUGACGUCUUUAGUACGUGUUUUCAGGUAGAGUUUUGAGAAUCCUACAACUCUUUCCCCCUUCGUUUUCAAUAAUACAAUUUGGAAAGAGGUAGGAUAGUUUACACUUUGAAGCCCUAAGUAUAUUGGUGCAAAAUCAACUGAUGACAUUCUAUAAUGUUGAUCCAAGUCAUUGAUAAUGGUCUAAUAAGACAUCCACAAGAAUUAAUCAAGUAUUUGUAACUUCUAUCUAUGCACCAAGAGGAUGCAAAUGAGAUGGCAUAAGUAGUGCUAAUAUGUUAAAAAUGCAUGAUUGGGUGUGAAAAUUUUGAAUUCAGUCCAUGGAUUAUGAUCACUUCAUAGAAACCAUAUGUUAAGUACAGCUCAAUAUGUUUGAGCGCUUCUAAAUCCAAAGUCAUAUGAAAACAUUAU